UACGGAGGAUGCAAGCGUUAUCCGGAAUGAUUGGGCGUAAAGCGUCCGCAGGUGGCAAUGUAAGUCUGCUGUUAAAGCGUCUAGCUCAACUAGAUACAAGCAGUGGAAACUACAUCGCUAGAGUGCGUUCGGGGCAGAGGGAAUUCCUGGUGUAGCGGUGAAAUGCGUAGAUAUCGGGAGGAACACCAGUGGCGAAGGCGGUCUUCUGGCCAGUUUCUGACGCUGAGGUGCGAAAGCUAGGGGAGCGAACGGG
Molecule: ribosomal RNA, 253 nt
Filed under: uncultured bacterium
Lineage: Bacteria
Description: partial 16S ribosomal RNA
Rfam family: Bacterial small subunit ribosomal RNA
Source: RNAcentral